CGCACGGUAAUUAUAACGAAGCGGUCGCCCAGGCCCUUCUUUUCCAGCUACCUGCCUCAAUACCGCUGUGCUAUUAAAUAAUAGAAUGACGCAUAUGAGCAAGAAGAGGGAUUGCUAUAUGGUGCUGGAAUAGCUGAUUAACCGAUAAAAAUUGCGACGUCAGGGAUGUACGCCAGCCAAAUGCUCGGAUGGCAAUCGCCCAUGGAUUGCACGCGGUAACUCCACUAUUUCCGGCGGAAAUCGUUUGAAAAAAUUUUAAAGUGUACUUGAAAACAUAAAUAAAAUAUCCUCCAAGUUUAAA
This is a long non-coding RNA of Neodiprion fabricii, 301 nucleotides long. RefSeq lists it as uncharacterized. The record is from RefSeq and is a predicted model, not a curated record. NCBI's taxonomy places the organism in Eukaryota, Metazoa, Arthropoda, Insecta, Hymenoptera, Diprionidae. The transcript has 2 exons.